AUUGAACGCUGGCGGCAUGCCUUACACAUGCAAGUCGAACGGCAGCACGGGGGCAACCCUGGUGGCGAGUGGCGAACGGGUGAGUAACAUAUCGGAACAUACCCUAGAGUGGGGGAUAACGUAGCGAAAGUUACGCUAAUACCGCAUACGAUCUAAGGAUGAAAGUGGGGGAUCUUCGGACCUCAUGCUCAUGGAGUGGCCGAUAUCUGAUUAGCUAGUUGGUGAGGUAAAGGCUCACCAAGGCGACGAUCAGUAGCUGGUUUGAGAGAACGACCAGCCACACUGGAACUGAGACACGGUCCAGACUCCUACGGAGGCAGCAGUGGGGAAUUUUGGACAAUGGGGGCAACCCUGAUCCAGCGAUGCCGCGUGUGUGAAGAAGGCCUGAAGGUUGUAAGCACUUUAGUUGGGGGUAGGAAGGAAU
RNAcentral lists this ribosomal RNA (424 nucleotides) under uncultured bacterium. RNAcentral describes it as "bacterial SSU rRNA". It matches the Rfam family "Bacterial small subunit ribosomal RNA", at positions 30 to 457 of the family's 1533-position model. The record is from RNAcentral.